This 556-nucleotide ribosomal RNA is filed under the name Alternaria tenuissima. RNAcentral describes it as "eukaryotic LSU rRNA". It matches the Rfam family "Eukaryotic large subunit ribosomal RNA", at positions 86 to 657 of the family's 3401-position model. Lineage: Eukaryota; Fungi; Ascomycota; Dothideomycetes; Pleosporales; Pleosporaceae. The record is from RNAcentral.
ACGGCGAGUGAAGCGGCAACAGCUCAAAUUUGAAAUCUGGCUCUUUUAGAGUCCGAGUUGUAAUUUGCAGAGGGCGCUUUGGCUUUGGCAGCGGUCCAAGUUCCUUGGAACAGGACGUCACAGAGGGUGAGAAUCCCGUACGUGGUCGCUGGCUAUUGCCGUGUAAAGCCCCUUCGACGAGUCGAGUUGUUUGGGAAUGCAGCUCUAAAUGGGAGGUACAUUUCUUCUAAAGCUAAAUAUUGGCCAGAGACCGAUAGCGCACAAGUAGAGUGAUCGAAAGAUGAAAAGCACUUUGGAAAGAGAGUCAAACAGCACGUGAAAUUGUUGAAAGGGAAGCGCUUGCAGCCAGACUUGCUUACAGUUGCUCAUCCGGGUUUCUACCCGGUGCACUCUUCUGUAGGCAGGCCAGCAUCAGUUUGGGCGGUAGGAUAAAGGUCUCUGUCACGUACCUCCUUUCGGGGAGGCCUUAUAGGGGAGACGACAUACUACCAGCCUGGACUGAGGUCCGCGCAUCUGCUAGGAUGCUGGCGUAAUGGCUGUAAGCGGCCCGUCUUGA